AUUUUUUUUUUAAUUUCUUAUCUGAUGCAAUUUAGUAAACGAAGCCAUCGAUUUUAUCCAUUUAAUUGGUGGAUGAAUAUCUUGAUUUCGUUUUAGUUGAAAAAUUUUCCGCAUUGGAAUUGAAGAUGGGAAGUGAAGAAUUUAAAAGAAUUUUGUGCUCAAAUUAUUGCAACUUGAACAUCACUCAGGAGGAAAAAAAAAAGGGGAAAAAUAUUGACCAAGAUAAUUGUUUACAUAAUGCUUUUCGACCGCUUCAAUACCUAACGUUUGGAUUUUGAAAUGCUGGAGUUUGAAAUGGGGCACUUGUAGGUGUCAAUUGUUCAUAUUUAUGGAAAUAGGAAUUAUUCGUGAUAAAACUGAAUUCAUGGAAAAAGAGUCAUUUUAAACUUUCAAUACUCAGGAAUGAAAUGAGUAGUGUCUUGGUAAUUGUUCUACUAGUAUAUUACUUCAUUAAUGUGAUUUGUUGCCCAAACAAUGGAGGCAAUGUUUCUUCAUUUUUGUGUUUGCGUUUAUGCAUACCUUAGAGAUGAUUUGUAGAUAUUUAAUGGAUAGGUAGAACAUUAAGUGAAUAUGCAUGUGAUUCUGUGCUUUUAAAUGCAUAAUUGUGUAGCAUUUUAUGGACUAAGCACUUGUGAGUAGAAUUUUUUUCUCUGCCCUUAUAUAAUCAUUGAAUGAUGCUAUUGAAUGUAUGUUUGAAACUGUGUUAUUGACAUCCGUAAUGCCAUGCAUACAUGUAAGAGCAUGUUGAUCCUUAUGUUAUUGUGUUGGAUUUGAAAUUUUUGUACA
Molecule: unclassified non-coding RNA, 786 nt
Filed under: Hevea brasiliensis (rubber tree)
Lineage: Eukaryota; Viridiplantae; Streptophyta; Magnoliopsida; Malpighiales; Euphorbiaceae
Source: RNAcentral